RNAcentral lists this ribosomal RNA (253 nucleotides) under uncultured bacterium. Its description in RNAcentral is "partial 16S ribosomal RNA". It matches the Rfam family "Bacterial small subunit ribosomal RNA", at positions 524 to 776 of the family's 1533-position model. The record is from RNAcentral.
UACGGGGGGGGCAAGCGUUGUUCGGGAUUACUGGGCGUAAAGGGCUCGUAGGUGGCCAACUAAGUCAGACGUGAAAUCCCUCGGCUUAACCGGGGAACUGCGUCUGAUACUGGAUGGCUUGAGUUCGGGAGAGGGAUGCGGAAUUCCAGGUGUAGCGGUGAAAUGCGUAGAUAUCUGGAGGAACACCGGUGGCGAAGGCGGCAUCCUGGACCGACACUGACACUGAGGAGCGAAAGCCAGGGGAGCAAACGGG